CAAAGCAAGACAUGGAUAACACCAGAAACUGGAUAAUCAGCCUCAAAAUGGGCGAAUUUUUACCAGCUGAGCUACCAGGGAAGCCCCUGCAUAAAUCCACAUGAAGAGCGUUUCUUGACAACUGAAAGGAAUUCACUGGUGAACAGUUACUGGUGUCAGGAAUAAGAAGCAGUUAAGGAAUGCUGGUAAUGCCACCUCCCACGCACACUCUUCUGACAAGUGGAAUGUGAUCCCAGUAGAAUGAAAAAGAAGCAAAGGUGUCAACUGUAAUGAUAGUAAAAUUAACACUUCGAGGAGUAGCUCAGCCUUUCUCUUACCUGGCUCUGUCAAUUGUGUUGUUGCUCCAUUUCUAUUGACAAGUAUUAUAUCUAUCUGCAUUUUAUAUCUCAGAAGUUGAGUAAGAGUUCAAAAGUGGAGCAAUUCUGGAUGAUGAUCAGCUCCAAGAGACAGCCAUGGAAGUGAAUGGUUAAACGUCAACAUUCAAGUCUCCCUAAUUUCCUAUGUGUUAAUGUAGUUUUGUAAUAAAUGUUAUUGGUAUAUGUGGUAGGCAGAAUUCUGAGAUGAUCCCAAUGACUCUUACAAUCUUCUCUCUUAAGUCUGUGUGUGGAACCUGUGAAAGUGUGAGACAUCAAUCCUAUGAUUGUCAUAAUUUAUAGCAAAAGAGAUUUUGUGGAUGUAAUUGAAUAAUUACAGGGACCUUUCAAAGGAACUGGACUCUUCCUCGAAAAAGUGAUUUGAAGCAUGACAGGGAUUCCAUGCAAGAGACAUUCAUCCAUCCAUCGCUGGAUUUAAAGAUGGAGGAUUCCAUGAAGUAAAUGACAUGAGCUCUAGAUUAGAGUAACCUCUGAUUUACAGCAGGCAAGGAAACUGGGACUUUGGUUAUACAGUCACAAGGAACCCAAUAAUGUCCCAACCGUGUGAACUUGGAAGAGGAUCCUAACCCAGAUGAGAACACAGAGCAGCUGACACCUUGAUUUUAGCUUGAGGAGAAUCUGUGCAGCGAAUUCACUCAGUGUAGUAUCCAGAUUCAUGACCUACAAAAUU
Molecule: long non-coding RNA, 1044 nt
Organism: Bos taurus (domestic cattle)
Lineage: Eukaryota; Metazoa; Chordata; Mammalia; Artiodactyla; Bovidae
Source: Ensembl